This 1317-nucleotide ribosomal RNA is filed under the name Limosilactobacillus fermentum. RNAcentral's name for it is "bacterial SSU rRNA". It matches the Rfam family "Bacterial small subunit ribosomal RNA", at positions 180 to 1482 of the family's 1533-position model. The record is from RNAcentral. Lineage: Bacteria; Bacillati; Bacillota; Bacilli; Lactobacillales; Lactobacillaceae.
CGUUGUUCGCAUGAACAACGCUUAAAAGAUGGCUUCUCGCUAUCACUUCUGGAUGGACCUGCGGUGCAUUAGCUUGUUGGUGGGGUAAUGGCCUACCAAGGCGAUGAUGCAUAGCCGAGUUGAGAGACUGAUCGGCCACAAUGGGACUGAGACACGGCCCAUACUCCUACGGGAGGCAGCAGUAGGGAAUCUUCCACAAUGGGCGCAAGCCUGAUGGAGCAACACCGCGUGAGUGAAGAAGGGUUUCGGCUCGUAAAGCUCUGUUGUUAAAGAAGAACACGUAUGAGAGUAACUGUUCAUACGUUGACGGUAUUUAACCAGAAAGUCACGGCUAACUACGUGCCAGCAGCCGCGGUAAUACGUAGGUGGCAAGCGUUAUCCGGAUUUAUUGGGCGUAAAGAGAGUGCAGGCGGUUUUCUAAGUCUGAUGUGAAAGCCUUCGGCUUAACCGGAGAAGUGCAUCGGAAACUGGAUAACUUGAGUGCAGAAGAGGGUAGUGGAACUCCAUGUGUAGCGGUGGAAUGCGUAGAUAUAUGGAAGAACACCAGUGGCGAAGGCGGCUACCUGGUCUGCAACUGACGCUGAGACUCGAAAGCAUGGGUAGCGAACAGGAUUAGAUACCCUGGUAGUCCAUGCCGUAAACGAUGAGUGCUAGGUGUUGGAGGGUUUCCGCCCUUCAGUGCCGGAGCUAACGCAUUAAGCACUCCGCCUGGGGAGUACGACCGCAAGGUUGAAACUCAAAGGAAUUGACGGGGGCCCGCACAAGCGGUGGAGCAUGUGGUUUAAUUCGAAGCUACGCGAAGAACCUUACCAGGUCUUGACAUCUUGCGCCAACCCUAGAGAUAGGGCGUUUCCUUCGGGAACGCAAUGACAGGUGGUGCAUGGUCGUCGUCAGCUCGUGUCGUGAGAUGUUGGGUUAAGUCCCGCAACGAGCGCAACCCUUGUUACUAGUUGCCAGCAUUAAGUUGGGCACUCUAGUGAGACUGCCGGUGACAAACCGGAGGAAGGUGGGGACGACGUCAGAUCAUCAUGCCCCUUAUGACCUGGGCUACACACGUGCUACAAUGGACGGUACAACGAGUCGCGAACUCGCGAGGGCAAGCAAAUCUCUUAAAACCGUUCUCAGUUCGGACUGCAGGCUGCAACUCGCCUGCACGAAGUCGGAAUCGCUAGUAAUCGCGGAUCAGCAUGCCGCGGUGAAUACGUUCCCGGGCCUUGUACACACCGCCCGUCACACCAUGAGAGUUUGUAACACCCAAAGUCGGUGGGGUAACCUUUUAGGAGCCAGCCGCCUAAGGUGGGACAGAUGAUUAGGGUG